GCCAUGGCUCAGCUGGAAAGGCAUUUGCUUGAAAUGCAGAAGGUCGUAGGUUCAAUCCCUAAUAUCUCCA
RNAcentral lists this transfer RNA (70 nucleotides) under Sphaerodactylus townsendi. Its description in RNAcentral is "tRNA-Phe". Lineage: Eukaryota; Metazoa; Chordata; Lepidosauria; Squamata; Sphaerodactylidae. The record is from RNAcentral.